Molecule: non-coding RNA, 749 nt
Filed under: Catomerus polymerus
Lineage: Eukaryota; Metazoa; Arthropoda; Thecostraca; Balanomorpha; Catophragmidae
Source: RNAcentral
GAUCGUUGAGGUCCGAGUUGUUGUUUUAGCUAGUUAGUUGUUUUACAUGUAAAUUUGUGUGAGAAUUUGAAUAAUAAUUAAUAAUUGGUAGGUGUUCUCAGUAGAAGAAAUUGGAAAAUUUGAGAAAUCGUUAUCCAGAAAAUUAAGUAGAGGUGGAAAAUAGCGUGCCAGCAGCCGCGGUUAUACGCAAGCCUCAAGUUAAAAUGGUUUUACGGAAUUUUGUUUUUGGUUUAAAUAUGAGUUUUAUAAAAUUAAUAGGUAGAAUUUUAAUUUUAUAGGAUAAACAACAAGUAAAAACAAAAAAUUUAUAAGAUGAACCAGGAUUAGAUACCCUGUUACUUAUAAGAAAAUUUUUCUGGAGUAUUAAUAUUAAUGAAAUUUAACGGAUUUGGCGGCAAGAUAGCCCAUUUAGAGGAACCUGCCCUGUAAACGAUGAACCACGAUAGACCUUACUUUCAUUGGUAAUCAGCUUGUAUACCGUUGUUGUCAGUUAGUUUCUUUAGAAAACUUUCGGCAAUGAAAAACUCAUUGACUUCAAAUAAAGGUGCAGCUAAUAUGGAAGAAAGAGGUGGGUUACAAUUAAAAUAGAGUAAAGCGGAUAGAAAAAUGAAAAAUUUCUUGAAGAUGGAUUUAAUUGUAAAGUUUAAAAAAGCUUGACAAGAGCACUAUCUUGUGUACACACCGCCCGUCGCUCUCCUUUUUAAAUGAGAUAAGUCGUAACAAGGUAAGUGUAAUGGAAAUUGUACUUG